This 1798-nucleotide long non-coding RNA is filed under the name Nicotiana benthamiana. Its description in RNAcentral is "long non-coding RNA (NBEN_LNC013626)". Lineage: Eukaryota; Viridiplantae; Streptophyta; Magnoliopsida; Solanales; Solanaceae. The record is from RNAcentral.
AUGACAAGCCAUAAUCCUAAAUUAAUUGGAAAUUUGAUAGUACUGAACCCAUGAACAAUUUAUUAAUCAAUACAAUGACUAACUUCUGAUUUUAAAAACAUACAGCAAAAUAAGAAAUAAAAUUACGGAAUGGCUAAAAGUUCCAAUAGACCAAUUAAUAGUGCAUAUUUUGUUCAACUAACCAUUGGUGUACAAUUAUUAGCUUCCUUUCGAAAUCAAAUCCAAUUUUUUCUGACUCUCCUUUAAAAACAGCGGAAAUAAAUGCUAAACCAGGCUGAUGAGAAACUAGUGCUAGAUGAUCAACAAUAUCAACACUAGUUAAACCAAAUACAUGGAGAUCUACUAGAACUUUGCAUUACAGUAUCAACACUAGUUAAACCAAACGAAAUUGCUACACAUAUGAAAUACAUCUAAUUAAUCUAACAUUAUACUACUUAACAAUACAGUCCAGAAUUAUUACAAAAUUCGAGAACAAUAAAUAAUCAAAUAUGGCAGGGCCAUUAAAACACAAAGCCACAGUGGGAAGUUAUCCUUAAUUUCAUUUCAUAUCUCAAUAGAUGAAGCUACAUCAAUGGAGUUUGGAGAUGUGUACCAGGAUGUAGAAAUACAAGAAGAAUAAGAAGAAGAUCAGCUAUAAUAAUAUAUUCCAGCAGAAUAAUUUGCAAACAGCAGGUAACACAGCAUGUUCAGUCAAGAAAUGAGUUCAACAGUCGAAGGAUAAGUUGAAGGCCAAGUAAAAUCCACUGCUAAACCCAAAAUAGCACCAAAUAGCCUACAACAAACUGACUGAAUCCUCAAAAAUUGCUCGGAAUCAAAUAAAAACUACCCUGAACCUUCAGUUACUAGUAAUCGAGCAAGAAAUGCUACUCAACUAGGCGAAACUAGAAUUUGGCUAAGAGAAGCAAUGCAAUAGUACUUUUUUGGUUUUUGAAGAGUUUUUGUUUCUUUUUUUUGUUUUCUUCUAAGGAACUAAAAUCUAGCCAGAAUUUAGCUAAAAUAGAAAGCUGGAUCAGAUCUAAGAAAAACUUUAGAAUGGAGAAUUUAGGAGAUAAUAAUGACUGAAAAGAGAAGACCCCUAGCAAGGCUGUUUAUAUGCCCUUUUAUAGGAAUGGCAUUUAUGGCAUCUAUAUGAGCAUCAAAAUUGCACCUAGAACCUUUUGCAAUUUUCAAAUUUGCUACUUAGUCCCUAAAAUUCUGACUUGCUUGCCAAGCUUAAUGCAUACAAAUCUCAAAUUUCACUGCAACUCCCUACUAGAAGCUUCCCCAUUAUGUUGUUAAAAGAUUCCUUAAGCCAAUUCCUUAAGCAGAAGAAAGGAAUGAAAAUAAUGGAACAAGAAACGGACAAGGAAAAAUAAAAUGAAAGAACACUUACCUAAUUAACUUGAAGCUGGAGCCCCCGAUUUUAAACAAAACUAAUGCUAAUCGCUUGUUCUUGACAAAUAACAAGCGAACAACAUUAAUUUUUCAUUAAAUCACUCUUCGAAACUCAACACUCGAAGGCCUAGGUCUUCCAUGCCACAAAUUUGAAGGUAAGGCAAUUUGGGUUUCAGGUCUUCAUCUUUAGAUUCCAGAUUCGAAAAGAUAUAGAGGGAUUUGAGGGAAGUGGAUUUUUGUUAUGGAAAGAAAAAGGGUUGGGGGUUAUAUGGUGUAAUUUUGAGGCGGAAUAAAGCUGGCGCCGCAACCGGAGGAGUUGACGAUAUGUGGGUGGCGUCGCUAGGGUUACGCAGAUAGUAGGCUGUUUAGGAGAGACGAGAGAAGGGGGCGAGUUUGGACCGUUAUAUGAUAAGGUAGGAUCAGU